This 492-nucleotide ribosomal RNA is filed under the name uncultured bacterium. RNAcentral describes it as "partial 16S ribosomal RNA". It matches the Rfam family "Bacterial small subunit ribosomal RNA", at positions 29 to 507 of the family's 1533-position model. The record is from RNAcentral.
AGUGAACGCUGGCGGUAGGCCUAACACAUGCAAGUCGAACGGCAGCACAGUAUAAGCUUGCUCUUACGGGUGGCGAGUGGCGGACGGGUGAGGAAUACAUCGGAAUCUACUUUUUCGUGGGGGAUAACGUAGGGAAACUUACGCUAAUACCGCAUACGACCUACGGGUGAAAGCAGGGGAUCUUCGGACCUUGCGCGAUUGAAUGAGCCGAUGUCGGAUUAGCUAGUUGGCGGGGUAAAGGCCCACCAAGGCGACGAUCCGUAGCUGGUCUGCGAGGAUGAUCAGCCACACUGGAACGGAGACACGGUCCAGACUCCUACGGGAGGCAGCAGUGGGGAAUAUUGGACAAUGGGCGCAAGCCUGAUCCAGCCAUACCGCGUGGGUGAAGAAGGCUUUCGGGUUGUAAAGCCCUUUUGUUGGGAAAGAAAAGCAGCAGGUUAAUACCCCGCUGUUCUGACGGUACCCAAAGAAUAAGCACCGGCUAACUUCGUG